UAAAUUUUAGUUUAAUAAAAAUUUUUUAUUUACAGUAAAAAGAUAAUUGUUUAAUUAAAUUUAA
RNAcentral lists this transfer RNA (64 nucleotides) under Habroteleia persimilis. RNAcentral describes it as "tRNA-Val". The record is from RNAcentral. Lineage: Eukaryota; Metazoa; Arthropoda; Insecta; Hymenoptera; Scelionidae.